Gossypium arboreum is the source of this 874-nucleotide long non-coding RNA. RefSeq lists it as uncharacterized. The transcript has 2 exons. Lineage: Eukaryota; Viridiplantae; Streptophyta; Magnoliopsida; Malvales; Malvaceae. The record is from RefSeq and is a predicted model, not a curated record.
UUCUUUUAACAAAUUAGGUGCAAUAGAAGCAAUGAAAACUUCUCUGUGCAUCAAUUACUAUUUGAAUCAAAUUAUGAAAUUUCUUUACAAUUAAUAAUCCCACUUUUUUAUCCCUAUAUAUAAAGCAUAGAUUUGAACAUCCUAACCAUUCUACAUUCUAAAAUAUGUAAUACUGCAUAUGUUAGUGUUUUAUUCAUCUGUUUUUUUUUUUUUUUUGCUUCAUUCUCAUCAAUUGUGACUGGCGAGGCUGUGAUCUUUGCUGCUUGGGAGGCUAUCAGAUGGACUUCUCUUCUUUGUUUUCCAUUGAUAAAAUAGUUGAAAAUUUGAUGUUGGCACGGUUCAAUCAGAUCAAAUCUCUCAGUGACUGGCUGAGUCCUUUAAUCUGAUUGAGCCGUGCCAAUAUCAGAGUUAGUCAGUUUAUCACCAAACCACUUGAAACUAGGGUCUCAACUCUUGUGAUUCUAGCUGUUGCUGAUAGUAGAAACUGCGAUUCGAACAUUUGUUUUCAGAAGCGACGAUGUGCCUGAUCAGAACCCAGAUUAAUCAUAAGGAACCUGCCUCAAUAUUGCAUUACUUAUAGCAUAUUGACACAUGAGGAUGCUUGUGGAAAUGAAUGGCACUGCUGUAAUCAUGUUUGUAAAAUCCCUUUGAUGCAAAUGACUAAGAAUAUUGUUAUUGUUUAGUGCAUUUUAUUGUUAUUUUUCGUCAGUCAAAAUUUCAUUAGACGAAGGAUUCAAUCAAGUAAGAUUGAUUGACGACAAUCAGUAUAAUGGAUAAAUUGAAUGUUGGAGUAGUUGAAUUAAAUAUUCUCUAGCUUCUUUGUAUUUCAUUUCCUACUUAAUUAAAAGGAGAUUAUAGAUCUUAAAGGAAUAAA